CCUACGGGGGGCAGCAGUGGGGGAUAUUGCACAAUGGGGGGAACCCUGAUGCAGCGACGCCGCGUGGGUGAAGAAGCGCCUCGGCGCGUAAAGCCCUGUCAGCAGGGAAGAACAAUGACGGUACCUGACUAAGAAGCACCGGCUAAAUACGUGCCAGCAGCCGCGGUAAUACGUAUGGUGCAAGCGUUAUCCGGAUUUACUGGGUGUAAAGGGAGCGCAGGCGGCUCGUUAAGCCUGGUGUGAAAUCCCGCGGCCCAAC
Molecule: ribosomal RNA, 259 nt
Filed under: uncultured bacterium
Lineage: Bacteria
Description: partial 16S ribosomal RNA
Rfam family: Bacterial small subunit ribosomal RNA
Source: RNAcentral